GGAGGUAGUGACAAUAAAUCACAAUGCGGAACUUUUAGUUUUGCAAUUGGAUUGAGAACAAUGUACAAAUGUUAUCGAUAAACAAUUGGAGGGCAAGUCUGGUGCCAGCAGCCGCGGUAAUUCCAGCUCCAAUAGCGUAUAUUAACGUUGUUGCAGUUAAAGAGCUCGUAGUUGAAAUGUGGGAUGAAGUAUAUAAUGAAUUUCUAAUUCAAUUGUAUAUUGAUUCCCCUCUCCAAUUUAUAAUUAUGGGUAUUAAUUUAUUUGUAAUAAGAAUUGGUCAUUUACUGUGAGAAAAUUAGAGUGUUCAAAGCAGGCAUUUGCUUGAAUAGAUUAGCAUGGAAUAAUACUAAAAGGCUUUUAUGGUCGAUUUAAUUGGUUUGUUCAUAAAAGCAAGAUUAAAAGGAACAGUUGGGGGUAUUCAUAUUCAAUAGUUAGAGGUGAAAUUCUCGGAUUUAUGGAAGAUGAACAAGUGCGAAAGCA
This 480-nucleotide ribosomal RNA is filed under the name Blastocystis sp. RNAcentral's name for it is "SSU rRNA". It matches the Rfam family "Eukaryotic small subunit ribosomal RNA", at positions 460 to 953 of the family's 1831-position model. Lineage: Eukaryota; Bigyra; Opalinata; Blastocystidae. The record is from RNAcentral.